Molecule: ribosomal RNA, 305 nt
Filed under: uncultured bacterium
Lineage: Bacteria
Description: bacterial SSU rRNA
Rfam family: Bacterial small subunit ribosomal RNA
Source: RNAcentral
UAGGGCCUACGGGACGCAGCAGUAGGGAAUUUUCGUCAAUGGGCGCAAGCCUGAACGAGCAAUGCCGCGUGAACGAGGAAGGUCUUCGGAUCGUAAAGUUCUGUUGAAGGGGAAAAAGAGCGGAGAGAGGAAAUGAACUCCGAUUGAUAUUACCCUUCGAGGAAGUCACGGCUAACUACGUGCCAGUAGCCGCGGUAAUACGUAGGUGGCGAGCGUUAUCCGGGAUGAUUGGGCGUAAAGGGUGCGUAGGCGGCCUGCUAAGUCUGGAGUGAAAGGUACCGGCUCAACCGGUACAGGCUCUGGAA